Molecule: long non-coding RNA, 6861 nt
Filed under: Brassica napus (rape)
Lineage: Eukaryota; Viridiplantae; Streptophyta; Magnoliopsida; Brassicales; Brassicaceae
Description: long non-coding RNA (BNAP_LNC021162)
Source: RNAcentral
GAGGUUACUAUAUAUAAAACUGAAACCAUUGUAUUAUCUUGUAUUACUCAGGAUUUUGAUUUUGGAUUCUUUUGUAUUGUUGCUGCAGCUGUGCCUAUGGUUGAAGCAAUGGUGGCUUUAGUUCUUGUGGAUCAGUUGAUGGCGCAAUAUGCACAGUGCCAUUUGUUUCCAAUAAAUCCAGAGCUGCAGGAACCUCUUCGGACAGCUUCUCCUGUCGAGUUCGAGCAGCCGCAAAAUGCUGCUGCUUUGUAAGCAAAACUUGAGAAGAUAAAGUGAGAGAGGCUUCGCUUUUUUUUGUGUGAUUAUUUUGAAUAAAGGCAUUAAUUUUUUUGUAAGAUGAUGAUUGUUUACUCUGUAUCCUGCUUUUCAUUCAGUUAUAUCAAUCGAGACUCUUUUUUGUAAGAGCCAUUUCCGAUCAAAUAUAUGUUAUGUGGUUGGUUUGGUAUAUUGUUAUCAGACAAAUUUCGGAGAAACACACUAAAUGGAAGUUAAGAAGAUACUUAAAGGAGAAUGUAAACUAUUCCGUUGUGUCGUUAAGCAAAUUAUUUAUGCUCGACAAGAUCUGGAUGAGCAUAUACGACUUCAUCAUAUGCUUUCUUGCUGAAUAAUUGAGUUGUUUCUUCGAAUAGCAAAGAGCAAUGUUGUACAACUUCAUAAUGAUAGAAAACUGAGUCCAUUGCAUUUUGAACAUCAAUUUGAGAGGAUGUAUGGCCGAGAAGAUUCUUCUUACCGAUGGAGCAAUUUCUUCUAAAUACACGUGAAAUUAUUAUGGUUAAUACGUAAAAUAAAUUACAUCAAAUUAUAAUGGUAAAUACAAUUAAUGUGGUAAUGUGAAAAGGGAAUGUAAAAAAUAUAAUAAAACAUUCAAAUGAACAUAAUAAAUAAAGUGGUUAGAAUAAAUAAAAAAAAAUUAAAAUCUGUAGAACCCCACUUAAAAAUAGACAACUAUUAUUUUGUAUUUCAAUUUUAAUAGAAUAGACUAGAUUUUGAUCCGCACGUCCGUGCGGAUAUUUUUUCAUUUUAUAAAUGCAUUUGAUAUCAUUACAAAUGUUUUAAAUAUAUAAUUUCUAUUUUAAUGUUUUAUAUUGUUUGACUCUAUAAUAUUAUUGUUUAUAUUUUUUAUUCGGCAUUAUUAAUAUAUAGUUUGUUUAAUACAUUUUACAUUGUUAUUAUUUUUAUAAAAAAAUCUGAAAUAAUCAAAUAGAAAACCUCGUCCAAAAUAUGUUUUUUUUUAAUUUAUACAAUUUUCAUAUAAUAAAUUUUUAAAAUUUAUUUAUUUCUAUAGAAAAAAUAUAUAUUUAAUAUAAUUUCUAUUUACAUGUUGUGUUUUAAAAAAAAAAUACUUUAACAUAUAUCAUUUUAGUAUUUUACAAGAUUUUUAAGUAAAAACAUUGUUUUGUUUAAAUAAUAUAGCUCUAAUUAUUUUAGUAAUUUGAUACAUAGUAGCAUCUAUUUUUCACCAAUGGACCUUUUUCUAAUUUUAAAGAUUCUAAAGUUUUCAAAGCCAUUUUUUUGUUUCUCUCUCUCCAUUUCCAAAGAAAUGUCUACAGCCUUUUUUUAGGUGGCCUUACAAACAAAACUAGAAUUUUCUUUUAUUUUUAUUGUAAAAAAUAUUUUUUUCUCUUCCCCUAUUUUUUUCUCUUCCCCACAAUAAGUAAAAUACUUAUUCUACUUUAUCUAAAAUUAUUUAUAAAAUUUAUUUGAUAAAUUAAUCAUUGUUAUUUUUUAUUAUUAUUUUGAGAUCCAUAUUGUAUAAUUUUUGGUUUCAUAUAUAUAUUUUCUUUAUUAUUGGAAAUUUUUUAUAUUUAUAAUAAAAUAUUUAAAAUAUUAUGUACUUAUUUAUGAUUUUGAUUAUUAAUUAUACAUUUUUCAAUAUUUAAAAUAAUACUCACAGUUUUAACAGCCAAAAUCUUUAUAGCCAACAGCCUAAAGCAACUCUCUAAAGCGAAAGUUUGUACCAAUCAGACCCUAAGUUUUUUUUUAAUUAAUAUUUCAAAAUAAUAGAUUACUUUAAUUUUUACAACAUAUAUAGUUUGUUUUCUCAUUGUGCAUUUCAAAAAAUUAUUUUUUUAUUAUCUAUGAUUUUAUCUUUUGUAACGUUUGAAAUUUAAUCAUCUUGAGUUUGAAUAUUUAUUUUCAAAACUGCAUAUUGACAAGAAAACUUUGAAAAUUACACACCUAUUUUUGAGUUUAGAAUAUUACAUGAAUUUUAAAUUUUCUUUUUGUUACUACAUUAAUACAUUAUUUUAUAAAAAAAUAUUUGAACUUUUGGUAAUGUUUUCUAAAUUAUCUCAACAAAUUUUGUUAUAAUUAAAAUAAAAAUUAAAUUUAUAAUAAAAAUUUGGUUUGUCAUUAUCUUAAUUUAAAUGAAUUAUUAAAAUUUCAUAGUUUUUAAAUAACAUAUUUUUAAAUAGUAUAUGGACUAAAGGUUAUUAUAUACCAUUAUAUUUUUGAAUAUAAAUAUAUUUUUAAACAAUAUAUGGUUGGGAGUUUCAAAAUAAAUAAAAAGAUAACAUAUAGUUGUAGAUAUAAAAGUUUAACAUAUGUUAAUAAAUUUAUUUUUGUCAUAUUUAUUCACAAAUCACUUCUAUUUUUAUAUAGUACAGAAUAUAAUUAUAAAUUUAUAAAAAAUAGUAUAAAUUUUUUAUUUUCUUGUUUUAAAAUAAUUUUAAUUAAAAUUGAUAUAUAACAAUAUUUUAUUACUAAUUGCAAAAUUAAUUAAUGUGUUAUUUUAUAAAAGUAUUUAAAUUUUUAGUAAGAUUUUGUUAAAUUCUUUCUCUAACAAGUUUUGUUAUAAUUAAAAAUAAUAAUUCAAAUUUAUAGUUAGCUUAUUAUUAAUGUAAAUAAUCAAAUAUGUCAUAUUAACUAAUUCUUUAAGUGGUCCUAUUAUGAAUUGUCAGUAGUAGAUAAAAAAAUAGGAACAUAAAUUAAUUGAUUAGAUAUAUACAUAGUAUGGUGGUGAUCCUUUUAUUUACACUUAAUUCUUAGACUAUGUACAAUGAUCAAAUUUUUCAACACCCUGCUUUUCUCUUUUCAACACUCUACAUUAUCUUCUCUCUCUUCCACCUAAUUAUUUAACAUCCACUUUGUUUUUUACCUCUACUAUAGUUUUGUUUAAUAAAAUUCAACACCAUACUCCCACUAUUUUUAAUUCAUUUUAGUUUAAUAACUACAUAUUAAUAAUAAUUCUGCUUGUAAUUAACUUAAGAAAAUUAAAUGACAUAAAUUUUAGUAAUUUUUAAUUUAUGUUCGUAAAUAAUUAUUUUUUAAAAAUAAUGCUAAAAUAAAUAUUAUUAAAACAAAUUACAUUAUGAAACUUUAAAUACACACAAUACAAACACAUAAAACAACAAAUAAAAACAUAUAACUUAAUGAUACAAUAGACUCAAUUUAAAAAAAAACUCUUAAAUCACACACAUAAAUUUAAAUUUAAAGUCUUUUUUUUUUUUUUCAAACAUUUCGAAUUUUGCUCAUAUGUGUUUGACUAGAUCUACUUGCAAUUCAUGAUGUACAUUUGAAUCACGUAAUUCAGAUUUAGCACAUACAUGAUUUGCAAAUGCGGAUAACACCUCAAUCGAAAAUGGAUGUGGUGUACUAGAACCACUUGCCUCAGAUUGAUCAUAAUCGGUCCAAUGUUGAGCAUAUGUAUCUCGUUGAUCCUCAACAAUCAUAUUAUGCAAUAUGAUACAUGAUCUCAUGGUGAUAGCCAAAUCAGAUAAGUCCCACAUGUGAGCUAGUUUAUGAAUGCUUUUGAAUUGAGCAUGUAACACUCCAAAUGCACGUUCGGUGUUCUUCCGACAUCCUUCUUGGUAUUUUGCAAUUAAUUUGUCUGGUUCACUUUGAGCAAGCCGGAUUGAUCUAACGAAAGUUUGAUAGGAAGGAUAGAUACCAUCAACAAGAGAGUAUGCCAUCUCAUACAUACGUUGGUUGACGAAAAAAUUCACUCUUGGAGUAUUUCCUUGUUCAACAUCAUCAAACACCGGCGAACAAUCUAGAACGUUUAUAUCGUUUAAUGUUCCUGCACAUCCAAAAAAUGCAUGCCAAAUCCAUAGAUCAUGAGAUGCAAUAGCUUCAAGUAUAACAAUAGUGGUUCCCUUAUCUCCCCUUGUAAACUGACAUUCCAACGCCGUUGGACAAUUUUUCCAUUCCCAAUGCAUGCAGUCAAUACUUCUGAUCAUUCCUAGGAACCCUCACAUUUUACUUACAUGCAAAAUUCUUUGCAAGUCAUCUUGAGCUGGAGCUCUGAGAUAGACUUGCUCAUACAAUUGUAUCCUUUACAGAAUCGACGCUAACACUCCAAUGCUGUUGUACUUCCAAUUUUGAUAUAUUCGUCGAUCGCAUCGGCAUCAAUACUAUACGAUAACAUUUUCAUAGUAGUAGUGGAUUUUGCUAGUGGAGAUAUACCUUCUUAAUUUGAUGUGUCAACUCGUUGAGCGAAGUUGUUGUCACUGCUUGAUAGGUCCUCAAAGAUCUGAAAAAAAAUAUGUUUUCGCAUCCGGAAUUGCCGAGGAAAUAUUGCUUCAUCAUAUGUAGGUUGAUUGGCGAAAUAGUCAUCGAUCAGCUUUUGAUUCGAUGCUACAUGAUCUCUCUUAAAAUAUUUUCUUUUGAUACGAGAUGCAUGUUCUUCCUCUAUAUUUUUUCUGCACUCUCUAGACCGGUUUACAAUAUACCUCUCUUCGAUCUCAUAUUGCUUUUUGUAGGCUUCGAUAUCAAAAGGAAAUUCCGAUGGAUCCAUUGAUUUUUUUAGUAAGAUGAGAUUUGUGUUUUUGGUUAUGUGAAAAAUGAUUCCAUUUAUAAAGAGACGUUACCCUUUGAUUUGCAUAAAGAGACGUUGCCCCGUGAUUUACACCAAUGGUCACGGAUUGCAUCGAGACAUUUAUUAAAAUAGAAAAAAACAAAAUACAUGAUUAAAGCGGAAAAAACAAAACACAUUAAUAAAGCAUAAAAAUCAUAAAGAGACAUUACCCCUUGAUUUGCACCAACGGUCACGGAUUGCAUCGACACCCUUAUUAAAGUAGAAGAAACAAAUACAUGAUUAAAGCGAAAAAACAAACAUAUAUUAUUAAAGCAUAAAAAAAUCAAACAGACAUUGAAGUCACUUGCAUCACUCUUGUGGACUCUCUUAGACCCACUAUUUUUCAAACCACUGUUUCUUCCUACUUGACUACCAUAGCGUGGUUGAUCACGGACAGCGAACCAUUCUGACAGUAAAUUGAAACGACUAUUUUUACCACUUGAGUAUAGUUCAUGCACUUUAGCUAAAACAUCAUUCUCUGACCACCCGCUCUGCUGCAUACGUUUAGAAUUAUCAUAAGCACCAAUCCAUUUGCCCAAUAUUUUUUUCAAGUUGUUGUAAUGAUUCCUGCACAAAGCUCCAUCACGAGGAGGAUCGAAAGAGCAAUGUUCGUUAUAGUACUCAGCAGUUUGUCUCCAAUAUGACUCAUUUUUUUGGUUUAUGCCAACAAGGCUGUCCGUUCCAUAUUUAAUCCACCCACCUAGUAGCACCAAAUUUUGUGAAAUAGUCCAUUUGAGGCUUUUCCGGCGAGUAGGAGUUGCAUCCUCUGCAUUGGGAGUGACUUCAUUGACACCGCUUAUGCCUCCAGGAAUAUUUUGUGUAGAAAAUACAGGAAAUUCAAUUGUUCCAACAUUUGGAAUAUUUUCAUUACCCAUGGAAGUAGAAGAAUAAGGAGGUGAUGAAAAUGAAUAUGGCAUAUCACUAAUCCACAGUAUAGACGAUAGUUUAGAACAAAAGCCAGAGGAAAAUUUCGUGAAAAACCAAAAUUUGGUACAUUUUGGGGUUGGUUGAAAGCUUGAUUUUGAAAUCGGUAAUUGUUGGGAUUUUGAUAAUUGGGAAGAUAAUUUGUGAAGUUUUGAGUAUUAAAAAAGUUAUUGUUUUGAUCCAUUUUUGACGCAAAAGAGAAUAAUAGCAAUAUUAUUGUCAAAAACUGAUUUCUUUUCUAUGUCCAAAUCUAAUGAACCAAGACUCUAUUUAUAGAGUAUGAAAAGUUAUGAAUUCUUUUUAUAAAAAAUAUUAUUUAAUAUAAAAUAGUUGAUCUCGAAAAUUUGGAUGAGAUAAAAAUCUAUAAAAUCUGAACAACUAAUAGUGUGGUGACACUUGCACCAAUUAGAUUUAUUGUUUAAGCAAAAAAAUACAAUGUCGACAACUUUUCUCAUUUUGUGUGGCGGAGAAUAAGCUAAAGCUACUCUUGCAGAUCCCACAUUGCUUCUUUCAACUGGUUGAAUGAAUUCAACAAAAUUAAAUCCACGUCACUUUCCUCAAUCAUUCAACAGCCUCAAUGUGGCUAUUCAACUGUUGAAAUAAUUUUUCAGAAAGCUCAUUGCAUGUAGUCUUACUUAUAUAUAUGCCUCCAAACUGAUGAUGAAAAAUUGAAAUGGAUCAUCAGUCAACACAUUGAUUGACGUUCUCCUUCCAUAUUGUACAGAGGAAGCAGAAUACUGUAACCAGAGAUAAGAAAGAAACUGAGAUGAUUGCGCGUGGACGUCACGAUCCUUGCGUUGUUCCACGAGGUUACUAUAUAUAAAACUGAAACCAUUGUAUUAUCUUGUAUUACUCAGGAUUUUGAUUUUGGAUUCUUUUGUAUUGUUGCUGCAGCUGUGCCUAUGGUUGAAGCAAUGGUGGCUUUAGUUCUUGUGGAUCAGUUGAUGGCGCAAUAUGCACAGUGCCAUUUGUUUCCAAUAAAUCCAGAGCUGCAGGAACCUCUUCGGACAGCUUCUCCUGUCGAGUUCGAGCAGCCGCAAAAUGCUGCUGCUUUGUAAGCAAAACUUGAGAAGAUAAAGUGAGAGAGGCUUCGCUUUUUUUUGUGUGAUUAUUUUGAAUAAAGGCAUUAAUUUUUUUGUAAG